GAUGCGCUCGCGCCCGCACCCUGCAUGCAAAUGUUGUCUCCAACGACAAGAUGGUGAGCCGCGCUCGCGGCCCCACCCUUCAUGCAAACCCUGUCUCCGAUGACAAGAUGGUGAGCCGCACUCGCUUCCCCCUCUCCUACUAGUGAUUUGAAGUCAACCGGUGCCUAAUGAUUUGAAGUUACUGACAAUCUUUGAUCUAGUCAUGUGAAUUAGUACUAGUGCUUACUGAAUUACCUGAUGUGUAUGUGCAAGAACUACGUGGUGUGUAUAUGUCCUUGAACUUUCUAAUCGCUGGGUUCUCUUGUGGCAGAUGGACGGGAAAAUGAGAUGGCGCCGGUCCAGGGGGUGCCGCCCAUGCGGGGAAGCAUCGCGGCUUCAAGCUCGGUUGGUAAGUACUCCAUACUAGUUUUUCUGUCAGUAUCACGGCUGUUUUUUGUCAUCAUUAGUAUAAUGAUAUUGGACUGAAGCUCGUCAACUCUUUCGAUGCUGUAUUUUUGGCAUCAUUAGUAUACUGAUAUUGGACUAAAGUUGGUUAGCUCUUUCCAUGCUGGACUUUUGGCAUCAUUAGUAUACUGAUAUUGGACUGAAGCUUGUUAGCUCUGUCCAUGCUCGGUUUUUUGUCAUCAUUAGUAUAGUGAUAUAUUGGACUGAAGCUGCACAUGUUUUGUUUCCAUUAACGUUGGUCUAGCAGUGCUACGCGUCAGUCGGCCGAUCGUAGCCGCCAUACAAGCCUUAUUUUAAUCAAGUUCCACCCAUCACUGCAUAUAUUAAUGUUGGUUUUGGCACUAGCUGCGUAUACAAACGCGAGCACCGGCACUGUGUGGCAGCAUGGAAGACAUAUGAACUGUGAUAAGAAACAUAAGAAACAUGCAAUGCCUAGAAACAUCUCCGUACAAAAAAAAAUUGGCAUGUUAUAGGUGUCAACAAAAUUAGUCGGCUUGCCAGCCGUCGGAUCUGACACGUGAAGCAUUGGAUCACACCACGCGGCAGCAGAGAGAGUGGAACCCGUCUUCCUCCAUAGCCUCCACAAAACUUGUUUAUCCCCCACCCCUCCCCCAUCGUUGCAACAGACUAUUAUGUUGUUGCCGCGGCCUUCCUCUUCCUCUCGCUCAGCAGCACCUCCCUCUCGUCCUUUCUAACACAGCAAAGAAGGAGGAGGAAGAAGAAGAAGGACGUAAGGACACAAGUGGUUUUGCCGGAGCACGAACUCCGCCCGCCGCACGAACGGCGUCCUUUUCUUUCCCUGAGCCCGAACUCAUCCGCAAGCUACAACAGAGGAGAGAGCUGGCCUUAUACCCGCGCGCAUGCACGCGCUACGCCACUCUCUGCACGCAUGCACACCCCACAUCCCGCGCUUUCAGACCCACUCACCCGACGCGCACGUACGCAGUCGCCGUAGGCCGAUUCCAGCGCCCCGACGUGGUCGCCACUCCGUUUCUGUCGCCUACACACAACGGCCCACGCGCUCGAACGCGAGGACACACACGCACGCACAGACACACACAACGCACGGCCACGGACCCGGUGCGUCCUGGCUCGCACCCGACGCGUCCUGCGGUGGCUUAUGCCCAACACUCACUCCCCUAAGCCACGAACUACAGCAGGUGAGUCCAUCGUCGUCGAUGUCGCCAUGGCCGUCGCACCGCACCGCUGCGGCCUCCGCCGUGCCGUCGACGUCAUUGUAACCGCCGCCGCCCUAACGUCGCUGCCACGCCAGCCACCGUGCCGCCGUGCCCUUCGCGUGCACUCCCCACGUCCCCGCGCUCCCGCCGCGCACGUACGCGGUCUGCGCAACCAGGUCCAGCGCCUCGACGCGGUCCACUCCCGCGGUCCCGACGCGCCCGACGCGUCCGGUGCGCACCCAUAACACGCACCGGUCACACCCGGCUCGCCGCCGCGCUUAUUGCCCUACACCGCUGCACCGUCAACCGCAGCGCAGCGCCUCCACGGUUGUCGCGCCGAGCCGCCGCGGCCUCUGCAACACCACGCAGGUCCUCCGCGACCUCCUCGUCUCCGCGACCGCCACUGCUCGCCGCGCGCACGGCAUCACGCCACACCGCCGUGGACUCGCCGCGCGUUGCCGACGCCACGCGCUCGCCGCGCGCCCGGCAUCACGCCACACCGCCGUGGACCUUCAUGUCCGCCGCGCGCCGCGCGCGCCGCGAACGCCGCCGCGUGCCACGGCCGCCCCCCGAACCUGUGGCUCUGAAUACCAAUUGUUGUUGCCGCGGCCUUCCUCUUCCUCUCGCUCAGCAGCACCUCCCUCUCGUCCUUUCUAACACAGCAAAGAAGAAGAAGGAGGAAGAAGAAGGAUGCAAGGACACAAGUGGUUUUGCCGGAGCACGAACUCCGCCCGCCGCACGAACGGCGUCCUUUUCUUUCCCUGAGCCCGAACUCAUCCGCAAGCUACAACAGAGGAGAGAGCUGGCCUUAUACCGGCGCGCACGCACGCGCUACGCCACGCUCUGCACGCAUGCACACCCCACGUCCCGCGCUUCCAGACCCACUCACCCGACGCGCACGUACGCAGUCGCCGCAGGCCGAUUCCAGCGCCCCGACGUGGUCGCCACUCCGUUUCUGUCGCCUACACACAACGGCCCACGCGCUCGAACGCGAGGACACACACGCACGCACAGACACACACACAUGCACGGCCACGGACCCGGCGCGUCCUGGCUCGCACCCGACGCGUCCUGCGGUGGCUUAUGCCCAACAAUUACGUCAGCCCCUCGCAGCACCUCACGUCCAUGCUCUGGCGCAUCCCUGAUGUCUCCUGGUAUCAUGCAAGCACUAUUACAGACGGCGCGCCGGCGAGGAACAUUGUCUUACAACCAAGGUAGUUGCAUUGAUGCGACCACAAGCCUCACCCCCUUGUUGCAUGGGUCGUGGCUUGUGGCACUGGUCGUCGGCUAAAACACCCCCUGUGAGCACCUGCAGUUGCACCACUGUGACAACCCCGUGGGUCUAUGCAUGGUGGAAAUAGAGCGAAUGGAUAUGGUGAAGAGAGAGGAAUACAAGUGAGGGGCAUCUGGCGCUAGAGCGAGCUGACUCAUUUCCUCCUAAACCAGUCUGUUGAAUAUUUCCAUUUUCUUUUGAGAAACCUCGUAAAAACGUUGCAACAUGCGAGCAUGUCUAUACAAAAAAAAGUAGAUAUAGAACACAUACUCAUUAACUGCAAGAAAUCAGUGAAAAACCACAAUGUAUACACGCCUGAACCAAUGGAUCAUUGGCAUGCAUCUUCCAACUCUUCCUAGGUUACGCCCACCCGCGAACCGUUCAAUUCUGUAACAGAUCAUUGCCAAAUCAACCACCAACUUGGUUCCUGCUCUCGUCUCCUCUCCCCAUCCUUUGCAACAUACACCCAUGUUUCUCAGCAAUAGACUCACUUGGAGGCCACAAUGGUGGCCAUGGUAGGCUAGUGAAAAGCACAAUGGUGGUCGGCCUUACAACACUAAACACGACAUUAAUUGCAACACGUGAUAACCCCAAAUUUGUAGCACCGGUGCACCGUUUUGCGGCAAAGUAAAAAAUGCCAAUGACCUACCAUGCUGCAUCGAUGCCUUGGUCUUGCAGCAUUGUCAACCACCUUGUAGCAAUGAAAAGUUCACUGACCACUAGCUUUGCAGCAUCACGUGACCGGCUUCUAGCACUGAACGCCCGGGCUAGCAGCAUUGCGAUGAGUGAUGGUCGGCCUUGCAACAGUAUUGGUUGACAUUGCACACCUCAUCUCCAUUUUUAUGUACAUACACAUGAGUGAACUUGGAACAUCAGUAACGUAUCAACAUUAGCAAUAUUGAUGAUGAUGAAAUUUGUUUCCCCAAGUAUCAACAUUACUGAAUAAGCGAGCAACUGCACAUCCACCCCAUGAGCCAUACUUUUUGAGCCCUACCACAACCGAUUAUAGUUGGAAAAGAGCUGACAACGAUAGUUAAAAAUGUACAUGAUCACAAUAGAUUAAAUGGCAGGGAGGGUGGACUGCAUGUGUGGAAUCAGGCUUGUCGCGUGGUCACAAGUGCCUUAUCUGACUAGCCAACAAGACAGAAGGAGGCCGCCUGGGCUCUCACUCCUGAAGCUAAGCAUAACUCCAACUCCAGACACACUCGGGGGCUACUGAAGGUGCAAUACACUAGGGGUGUCCUCUAAGUGGGAAGCCCGGUAGCAGGCCUAUCUCAAGGCCCAAGAGGCCAAGUGGAGGAUCAGCGCACGAGGGCAGCUCAUGAGCCCGGAUAAGGACCGGGAGAGCAUCUGGGCGUGCAAGCUAACAUGGCGACGGUAUGAGAUCUAGUGGAUUCCUUGUAAUCCCUAGCCCUCGUCACCUAUAUAAGGCAGGGCAAGGGGUUAUCAUUCACAUAUACUCUCAUAGACUAUACUCUUGGUGGCCUUAUACUUCAUCUCCGUUGUAAAUCCUAUUAUGGGUACUAACAGUUUUACAUACUGUCGCAUAGUUUUGUUCCGACACAUUUUCUCUAGGAGUUGAAAGCAACUCAUGGUGUAAGUAUGUGUCUAGUUUAAUAGCUAACAUUGGAUUUUUCUAUUUGUUGACCUGAUUGCAUGCACACACUCAUACGUGACCAACACAUUGUCUGUGAUAAGCCUACCCGGAAUAAAUAUACUUUGCUCCUCCCAGAUCAUUAUGGACAGGAGAACAUUCAAACCAUUCACUAGGCCUUUGAAGCAAUAUGACUGAGUGUGUUCUAUAAGCUGAUUGAUCCAAUUUGAGGAAGUAUAUCCAGUGAGUUAAUUUUUAGGAUCAGGACUAGAACCAUAUCACUGAAGUUUGCCGAUACAUCAUUUUUUAGCAACGACUAGUGAAAUUGGUAAACAUAGUCGAGAGGUUGUGUGGCCCAACGCUUUUGUCAGUCUAAUUUAGAAUGGUGCAUUCUCAAUUUCUUCAUCCAUCACAUCCGCGUCCACCCUCAAGAAAACAACCAAGCAUAGAAAUCGGCCGACAUCUUCCCCAUCUCAUUGUCAGUAGUACAUCUCAUGCCAUCCGCGCUCAUGUUUUGUUUGUCUUCCUCGAGCAAUUCCAGUCGAGCAUGUUGCACAUACAUUAUUUCUUCCCAUGCAUGAGCCAGAUGAAGCUACGCUUCAAUCUCGUGGAUCUCCACCAAGGAUCUGGAUCCCAAUGCUCUCUCCUUUCCAUCGAAGCUGACCUUGUGCCUAGUGAUGUCUAAACAUAUGAAACAAAACACUGAGCCACUCCAAUGUUGCGUAUCAUUGGUGACAUUGUUAAGCUUCCUGUAUAACGUACUUUGGCCGAAAUUGUUGUCACAUGCACACUCCCACGCAUCCAUGGGGCAUCCGCCUCUCCUCAAAUGUUAACGCCCUCUUCUUCCUUGUGGUAAUGACCAAUUGGUCUAGCGCUCUAAUAAUGAGUGAAUCAUGGCCUGGUUCUCCGUGAGAACAUGUUCAAUGGAUGUAUCCUAGAAUGAGUGUAUGAAAUCAUCAUUGCAUGGACCCCUUCCCAGAUGUACCUAAAUGUUCUCAUCAUCAUCCCUUUUGUUGUCCCGUGUGUACUGGUAGCUACUAAAACAGAGGUUUGAAAAGUUGUUAUUGGCUACGCUCUCCCUAAUGCGCUCCAUUUGUGUGAAACUCCUCAAGUAAUCUCCUGGUUGUUGUGAUUGAAAGAAUACUUUGUUGAGGUAUCACUGUCACAGAGAAAUUUAUUAUCAGGAUCUAGUCUCUCGAAACCUCCCUUAGCUACACAAAUUUGCUUCAAUCUCUCUUCCUAUCCAGUAGCUUUAGCUAAUAAUCCUUGUGAUGCCUUUGGUGAUCACCACCACCCUUCCUCGUCUUGUGAACAAAAGUGCCUCGUGUGUGCUGCUUGGAGGUAGAUGGGUCUUCUUUGCCCAGUCGCCUUGCACCCUUUCUUCCCAUAUAGAAUUUUUUAUGUCCUCCUUCCUUUCAUGCUCCUUCCUCAGCUUCCACAUCCUUUUCAGUUGCAAAUCAUCCCUUAGUUCAUGUCACCGAUCUUGCUUGCAUUGGUCCUUCCUGGGUGUAUAAGCAUUGUAGCACUUGUGCCUAAAUGGGAGGUGGCGCAACGCUGCUUACCCCCUGUGAACAUAGAUGCACCUUCUUGACCUAGUGCUCCCAAAACUAAAGUUCCCACUUUCUAUCACCGACUUAUACUAUGUUUCUGUGUGUGAGGAGCUAUGUUCGAGUGGUGCCCUCAACCAUUCACCCAACUAGGGUGAGGAAUCAACAUGUGGUUCAAAUCUUUCAUCAGCAUGUGCUGGUCUAACGCAGUCAAUCCAGAAGUGAUGUAUCUUCUCAAAUUGAAAAUCAAGACAGUCCCCUCAUCUUUUGCUGAAGAGUGGAGGAAGAAGCCUCGAACCAAUGAAACGAAUAUGAAAAUUCUAGCUCUAACUAUGAGAUGGUUCCCCCCAUAAAUCCAUCCUUCUCGAUAUCAAAUUUUACCAUGUCACCAAGCCAAUUCCCGAGAGCAUUCCCAAAAGUAGACAAUGGUUUAUAUAGGGGAAGAUCCUUAAUUAUCACCAAUGGCUCCGUCAUCCAAAACAUUAUCUUCGACGGCCUAGUUUUACUAUCACAAUUCUUCAAAACCAUCACACUAAAACCAAAUUUCCACGGUCCAUUAUAUAGAGCUUGAUUCUAAACUCCGUUUUGUCGAAUCUCAAGACGAAUAUAUUAUUGCCAAUGGCUUCCUAGUAGAGUCCCCAUGCCUGUUGCAUAGCCUUAGCAAACACGUUGAUGUUGAUAUGCGGAAGUGAGCACGCCUUUCCAAUAGCUGACAACUUAGUAGGCCUCGGUCGGUCUAGAAUCCACCUCAAACAUGAGACCUAUUAGUUCCUUUUGUGUCAAGUUCAAGGCUGCUUGUUUGUUUGAGUGAUUCGCUACCUCCUGGAAGCAUUUUCAUCUGUCAGGGACUUUGAAGAUUCUCGGCUUACCGAUCGUUGGUCACCCGCUUCACUGGAGUUGCCUGUCCAUGCCAUGCCUGCUCUUCCGUCAUCGACCAAUAGAUGAAUAAAACCCUAACCCUAGCACUACCUGUCGGUCCCCUAUAGUCUCCCUUAGCAUUUCCUUUCAUGGUGGGCCCGCCACCAACUAUUCCUCUCCGUCCUUCCAUUGGUACUUUUUCUGCGGUGGAGCCUUUAUGCUUCAUUUGGCUUUCUACAAUGGUGGUUGUAUCCAGCUCAUAAGUCUCCUCUAUAUGUAGGAAGCCAAGAUGUUAGCUCUUCUUUUUUUAAGGAAAAUACGUUAGCUAAUGUACAAGUUUCAUUUGAAAGAAGUCUUGUCGCAUGUAAAUACGUCACUGUCGAUUCAAUAUCCGGCGUAUCUCGUAGUAGGGGUCCUAAGCUAGGCGUCUUGGAGCGAUGGUAACAUGGACACGGGGUUUUACCCAGCUUCGGGCUCUCUUGAUGAGAUAAUACCCUAGAUGCUGCUUUUGAUUGUAUUCAUAUGGGGUGUAGUACAGAGUACAUGUGUCUACCACGAGACUGUGGUAAUGAAUAUGAGAUUGUCUAUUGACUAGCCUGGCCUCGGUUUAUAUAACACAACGGAGGCCUAGGGUUUUAGGAGAGUCCUCGCCUUGGGCGCCAAGUCUUGUGGAGUCUUCCUUAUAUGCGGCAGGGGUUGUCCGAACUGGCCCAUGAGUAUACGGUCGGCCCAAUCCAACUGAUCGGGAGACGACGUGGUGAGUACCCCCUAGUCCAGGACACCGCCAGUCACUAAGAGUGCGAUACAUAUAGGUGCAUACUUAGCGGAUGAUGCAAAUUUCAGCAGAUAUGAACAGCUCCAGGUGGACCGAGCACACAAAGAAAUCAUGGACCAUAAACGAAUAAUUUCCAAAGAAACAAAGUCGCAAAAAGAGAGACGACAUUAUCUUCAUUAUGGAAAACCCUUAUAUUUUUAAACAUUGUUUUGCUCUUUGAUUAUUAACAGGAAUCUUUUUACUAAUAUAAUAAGUGUUAAUCUUUAUAGAUAUGGAAUGUAUUUUGUUCAGUAGGUUUUAAUGAAUCAUAUCAGUUUUUGGUAUGUUAAAAUUAGAAGAAGUUCAUGCGCCUUCAAGGCAUGUCACGGUGUGUUGUUCCACCUCAAACAGGGACAUACUACAUGGUUAUUCUCCCUGCAUAUAGCCCUCUUUGCAUGCUCUUCCUCUCUCUCUCUCUCUCCAUUGUAUAUUCCAGAACUGCUGACACUACUCCAUAAUGCCUAACUGGUGAAGGUCCAGAAACACCUAGCAGUGAUGGGUUCAACAUGCGCAGUAGUCUGUACUUAGUGGAGAAGUAACAAACCACUUAGAUGAACGUGUCCGCCAGUGAUGGUCAAAUCGAAAAAGAAAAUCGGGCCAUGGCCAGUCCAAAGCUAACACCUGCCAAUAAUGUGUUGUCUCCACUACUCGAACCUUCUUCACCUCAAUAUAUUGCACCGUCUGAUGUUUGGAGAAGCCAUAGAGUUGGGGAUCCGAAUAGAGGAAACAAUGGUGGGGAGUGUCUUGAAGAAUAGGUAACGAGAAGCCGGACGAAGAAGGCCUCGACCAUGCUGCACCAUCAGCCCAUGAGCACUGACCUGUAUAUAUGGUGCAAGGACCGAGGCAGAAAUGAACACCAUCAUCGCCUGGGUGGCAGAGGGAGUUGGACCUGGGUGUUCCUCCUCUCGGACAAACUCAAUGAAUUCUUGGAGGAAGCACCCAUGCUAGAUUCUGCAGAGAUGACAACAUUUAGAGGAGGUGGAGGGCCAGCGCUAGGUUUGUUCCUCAUAGGGUUUAUUUUCGGGGAAGAAGGGGAAGGGUAUGACAUGAUGAGUGAUUAACAAGGGAAGUGUGUGUUUCUGUGGAGGACAAAUCAUGAAGACAAGUGUGCUAGUAGCUAGAGAAGGGACUAAUGAUAGCAGGAAUGAAUAAUGAGCUUAAUGUGUGGGGCUACUAGUUUUAAGUUGUGAUCUAAAUGACAGGGUAAGUAUUUAGUCACUAUCGUGUUGUGACUUGGGCUUGUAAGUGGUGGGUUGUAUAUGAGUAACAAGUAGCAUGUUUAGCCUCAAUAUUGUUCUCUGUCACUUGUAACAAUGUAUCAUUGAUGGACCACAUAUUGGGCCCGUCACUACUAACUUUUUUCAACAAAAAUAGAUUUUUAGUUAUCGUCAAAUUCAUGGCAAACCCGUCGUCCAUUACUUCUAAGUAGCACUACUGAUGGGUUGUGUGACCCACCACUAUUGAUCAAUAACUAGAGGAUAACUCAAGCAUAGUGCACAUCCGUUUCUUUGAGAUUUUGUUAGUGUUUUCUUGUUCAUGGAGACAUAUCAAUUGACCCUAACAAGUGUUCUAUUUAGGUGGGGUUGUGAGUGAAAAUGCGGGGAGCUUGCCAGCAGGGAAAAUGGCACCUAGAGGGGCUCAUGUCUCCAUGAUGAACAACCACAACUUUGAUUUGAAUGAGCUACCGACUGAACAUGAGCAGCUCCAGCAGGAGCAGCCGCCCAAAGAGCAGGAUUAGCCGCCUGUGGCACAACAUGAGCUUUAAUAUUCACAAUGGCUGGAGCCUGCUCAAAUCCGCAUCUAUGAGCAAAAUAACUCUUCGCCAGAAGCAUAGCCCUGUUGGAAAUUAUCAAAAAUAUCUCUAUCCCGAGGAUAAUGGGAAGGCUUGUAUGGAACUUUUGAAUUUCUCUCUUCCUACUUUUUGCNNNNNNNNNNNNNNNNNNNNNNNNNNNNNNNNNNNNNNNNNNNNNNNNNNNNNNNNNNNNNNNNNNNNNNNNNNNNNNNNNNNNNNNNNNNNNNNNNNNNNNNNNNNNNNNNNNNNNNNNNNNNNNNNNNNNNNNNNNNNNNNNNNNNNNNNNNNNNNNNNNNNNNNNNNNNNNNNNNNNNNNNNNNNNNNNNNNNNNNNNNNNNNNNNNNNNNNNNNNNNNNNNNNNNNNNNNNNNNNNNNNNNNNNNNNNNNNNNNNNNNNNNNNNNNNNNNNNNNNNNNNNNNNNNNNNNNNNNNNNNNNNNNNNNNNNNNNNNNNNNNNNNNNNNNNNNNNCUCAUGAUCACCCUAUCCACUUGAAAUGGAUCUUCUAUUCAUUUCCCAUGAUGGUUUUGAUAUCUGGAUUGUUUCAACAAGAAUAUAUUCAUUUGGUAAAGCUUUGUGAAACAUUAGCGAUGGAGCUAGGUCUCGGAUCAUGUGAAAAGACAGUAGGUCAAGAAGUGUGUUAGCUCAUGAGAUAAUAUAUUUUUGAAGUUGUUCAUCAUGUGUGUUGACACAAUGGGCCGUACGAGAGAAGGUUGGCAUGAAUCUUUGGGUUUGAAAUGAGCUGUCUAAUUGGACCUUCAUGACUGAAAAAAGGGAGAAAACAUGGCUAAUAGGAGGCGCAAAUGAUAUGGAAGCUACUUUUUGGAUGGAAGUUAACUAUGGCUAUGCGACCACACAAGAUGUCAGUGGAACCGCGUCCUUACAUAUCGAGGUUGACUUCAUGUGCAAGCUGUAUUGUGACUAAAUUAUGGUAUAUGUAUGUAAUAACUUGGCAUCUUACCAAAAACAAAACACCCCAAAAAAUACUAUUUACUUCUCUUCGAUGCAUAUUCUAGUGGAAGGGUGGUCAUAACCAUAUGGGGAUAUUUUUCCACAGUAGAAUCUAUAAUGGUCUAGUGAGGAAAGGUGUAAAUGGAGAGGAUAAUAGGCGAACAUGGAAACAUCCAACAUUGUGUUGUACUUGUAUCUAGUUGUAUAGUGAGAUAAUAUGGAAACGGAGGAGGCUCAUAGGGAAACACGAGAACACCCAACAUGUUGCUCUACUUCCUUCCUAUUGGUACCAAGAGACUGAGACUAGAGAAAGGUUAAUCAUAACACAUGGACAAGAUCUCUCAUACAAGUUGAAAAUGGACCGAAUCUUGUAUGAAAAUGCUAACCAAGUAUGAGUGUGCAUAACAUACCAUUUCCUCCCUUUCUUUGUUGUAUUUUCCUUCACCAACCCCAUAGUACCCUAAUCGACACUAUUAAUUCGAUAUGCUUCUCAUCUGAGUUAGGUAGACUUAUUCAAGGGGAAAUAAUGGAGGUGUCUUAUCUAAAAUAGCCACAUUCCGGAUAGGAAUAAAAAAGUAGACAUAACCUAAUGAUUUGUUGAGAUUUGAAUCGAGAAUUCAACAUACAUCAACUAUCCUACAUGUAAAUCAAAUCCUCAUCCUACAUCGGCAUUGGGCUUUAGUUGGACUACCACUUUAUGGACAAGCUGUAUGGUCCAUGUGGUCUACGUCGCAAAGGCUGGAGAACAAGGAGCAAAUAGUUGUGGAUGUUUGGUAAUUGAAGUUAUUUGUCAAGAAAUUUGUUUCCCGUCAUGGUUUUUUUAAUUCAUUAUUUAGUAUUUGGUAUCGGUUCUAUGCUCUAAUGUGUAACCUUCUUCUGAUGGUUUGGGUUUAGCUGUCGGUGGUCAUGAGUUCAUUACUUAUGUUAACUACUAUUGUUGUGUCCACUUGUUCGCCAAGAGACUAUAAAGUUAACUUAUAUCCUCCCGUAUCUCUAUUAAUAUAGUUGGCGGUGAGGUAAUCAUUAACCCUGAAUAUUACUCACCUUUGUCAAAUAGUAGGCCAAGCUGGAACUGUCCGGUGCAUCAUCUAUGGUCACAUAUGGUGUAUUGCCUAUUCUAAACUCAAUGAGUAUUACAUAAUGGCAUGUGCCUGCAGGGAGGAAUGAGUCACUCUUUUGUGUCAAGGGGAGACGGCAUGCGUAAUAAUUGACAAUGAAAAAUUAACAACCUACAUCAAAAGUCUAACCCAAGACAAUGAAUAUGUGCCAUUGUAAUUUUACCACACUAAGUCAUCGGUAUUUCAUAAUCUAAUGUUCCCGAUGUCGUGACUUUUGGCGGUGGUAAGCCCAAAUAAUCGCCAUUGUGAAAUUAAAUUCUUCCGUUCACUUGAACCCACAUCCGUAAAGAUGUGCCAUUACAAUCCACGUCAUGGCUAUCUUGGAGUCCUUAAUAUAAUCAAGUGUGCCAAAUAUGGUGACUUGAUAAUCACGUAUACUAAUGGGGAGGAGCGAGGUCACAUUUUUUGCCAUGGAGACAUGAUAUUCCGUACUAAUUGACCCUAGAAAGCUAAUCGCCUCCAUCAAGUAGACCCCUUCCUGGUUCUCCUAUAACUGGAUUCCCCGAAACCACGAAAAUCCUUAGAAUUGGAUUACAACUUAGCACCUUGUGUUUUCACAUAGUAAGAAGAGUUGCUCCUUGGAGAGCACGGUAUGAUGAAAGUUGUAACCUGUGUUUCCGAGGGAGUUAUUGUCUCGCAACUUUGUUAUCAACUAUUCUGAUUCCAGCAAACAGAGGCCAUUGGGUCAAAGCCAUAGCGCACGCCUUGUAGUUUUGAAGUGGGGCGAGACAACUUUAGCUAGGAACCUAUUUUCCUUCUGACCAACUCCCUAAAAACAAUGUUCGACUUCAUGUGUAGUCGGUGUAGAUGUGUGAUUGCAAUUCCACCACUAGGAUAUCACCAUGUCCUAUGUAUUACAUGCCAACAUAUGCCACCAUAUGGUGACUUGAUAAAUUAAAUGCAUUUCACCAAGCUUUUCUGUUCCAAUUAUGGUGAAGAUAGUGACUCACAUGUCAGCCUCCCUAACGGGAAGCAAAAUCACUCUGACUUUGGCAACCUAAUUUUUUUAUGGAUUCAAGCAAGCAUGUUGGAUUUGUGUAUUGUUUGUUUCCACAUAUAUGAUUCAAAAUAAAGGAAUCAAUUCAGAAUAGGAGUCUUGGAGACACCUAUGUCAAUAAUGUGAAAUUAUGGGAAAUCUUAUUGUGUGCAUCAAAAUAAGCCAAAACUCGUGGCUUAAGAGAUACGUGUACAAUCAUACAAUGGUUAUGACCCCUACUAAAUUCAUGAUGUUAACCAGUUCCCAGAAGUUUAAGUUGAGAAACAAGUUUGGGCAACAUAUUUCCAGACACCUGUCAUGUCUAGGAUUGUCUGAAGCCUAGGUAAGAUUAGUUAUGGGAUCAAUGCAGGCUAUUAGUACAUUGACUCGGUUCUUAACUCAAGUCCUCCUUGCUUGAUACCAUAUUGAAUGGCAAGUACAUCAUCAAUUUACUUAAGUGGGUGAACAUUGUUGGCUAGUAUAUUCCAACACUCACCUCACAUGCAUUUUUUAGGGGCAUAUAAUGUAUCGUGAUGGAUACAUUCUUUCUAAAGACUAAAUUCCAAUGGAAAAUUCAAAUUAAUUUAGUAGCAAUCUCGUAUGGCAAGGGUAUAUGGUAAAUGAAAAGGAGGGCUCAAAUGCUACUUGUUGGCACACACAAGUCAAGUUGUCUUUUAGCUCCCAUGUUGAUCCUCCAUGGUUCGACAUUGGGCAUUACAUAGAGAACGAGUUAUCUUUACGGACUAACUAGAGCUACCAGACCAUGGAUGUUCCACCGUGAAUGUCCAUAUGGUGCAAUGAGUGAUAGCGGGGUAUAUUAGAACAUACAGUAUACACCGUUAAAGUAAUUAAAUGUGCUAUUUUGCCUACUAUGAAAAAAUAGUAUUUUUAAGAGAAAACUACGCAAGAGUUUGUGAUCUUUGUAUGUAAAAGCAUUAUUUGCCUUUGCUUGGUGUUCACACAGUUUGAUUUAUGGCAAAAAUGGAAAAUCAUGGGACAAUAAUUGUUGAUAUUCUUUGUGGGAAAGCUAGAAGUUUUCACUUUUCAGAUCACGCAAAGUAUUGUUUUCUUAUAGGGGUGAUAUAUAGGGUUCUAAAUCUGCAUUUGUGAUUUGUUGUCCAUUUAAAUUUUGUUUCUUCCACAGAUUAUGUUGGUUUGUUGCUGUAUUUAUCUCAGCACUGAAUUUUACUGAUGUUAGCUAAGUCCAAUCAAAGGCCGAUGUUUCUAUCAUGUUAUACAAAUUAGUAAGCUAAGUACUGACCAAACUCAAGUUAGAGAAGCCCAGACUACGUGAAAUGCACAUCAUGCAGUACACAUGUUCAUCUUAGUGUUAUGUUAUACUUGGCUCCCAGAUGACAAAUGGUAUCAGUUACUACUAUCUUUUGCAGCUUGUUUCUGCCUGUUCAUCGUAGAAUUAUCUUAUGUAGUCUCCCAAGGUUCAUGCAACUUGGAUUUUCAUACUUUGGUAGCAUUAGUGUUCACUAGGACUAGAUGCCACUCUGUAGAAGCUGGGGAUACAGAUGGAGAAAGUAGUCAUGGUUUUUUUUUCAAAAAGUUUGUUCAUAUCUAUAACAGGUUUAUUAUUUUUAGCGUACAGUGUUGUGAAACCUAGAGUGUUUUAUCUCAUUAAACAUUGAACUACACUUGCAAGGGAAAAACCUUCAUUUGACAUCGAACUAUGCAUGCAGGGCAAACACUCCGUGCAUCGGUGCCACCGCGCCGCGAACCUUGGGAGCUUGAACCUGGUUGGGUGUGAACUUAUGUUGUCAAGGUUUGGGGUCAGUCUUGGAUAGAGAAUAAAGGGGACUUUGCGAAACUGUUAUUAAUAAUAUGUAUGAAACAUUGCCUUGGGGAGAGAAUAAGAGAUUUCGAGAGAUAUUUAUAAAUGGAUGCAUGCUUGCAAUAGCAGUACAAAAUAUGAUGCUAACAUUUUAUUUUCAUUGUUCUUCCCAUUAAACUUCUCGUGGUGGCUCCAUUAUUCACAGCCUCGCACAUGAAAAUGUUAUUUCGUU
Molecule: long non-coding RNA, 14554 nt
Filed under: Triticum aestivum (bread wheat)
Lineage: Eukaryota; Viridiplantae; Streptophyta; Magnoliopsida; Poales; Poaceae
Description: long non-coding RNA (TAES_LNC018617)
Source: RNAcentral